CAGACCGAACGACCGCGGGCACAAGGCGAAAGCCUGUGAAUGAGGAAAGUCCGGGCUCCAUAGGGCAAGGGUAACGGGUAACGCCCGCCAGGGGUGACCCUCGGACAAGUGCAACAGAAAUAUACCGCCUGUCACAACCGUGACGGGUAAGGGUGGAAAGGUGGGGUAAGAGCCCACCCGCCGCAUGGAGACAUGUUGGCGCUGUAAACUCUACCCGGAGCAACGCCGUGGGAGAGCAUAUAGAUCGGCCCGAUCGCUCUCAGGAGGCGGCUUGAGCCUGGCGGCAACGACAGGCCUAGAUAGAUGGUCGUUUAAGACAGAACCCGGCUUACAGAUCUGCUCAU
This 344-nucleotide RNase P RNA is filed under the name bovine gut metagenome. RNAcentral's name for it is "Bacterial RNase P class A". It matches the Rfam family "Bacterial RNase P class A". Rfam says of the family: Ribonuclease P (RNase P) is a ubiquitous endoribonuclease, found in archaea, bacteria and eukarya as well as chloroplasts and mitochondria. Its best characterised activity is the generation of mature 5'-ends of tRNAs by cleaving the 5'-leader elements of precursor-tRNAs. The record is from RNAcentral.